UGGCUCAGGACGAACGCUGGCGGCGUGCCUAACACAUGCAAGUCGAACGAAGUAUAUUUUCGGAAUGUGCUUAGUGGCGGACGGGUGAGUAACGCGUGAACAAUCUGCCCCAUACAGAGGAAUAGCCUCGGGAAACCGGGAUUAAAACCACAUAACACUUAAGUAUCGCAUGGUACAAAAGUCAAAUUGAUUAAGAGGUAUGGGAUGAGUUCGCGUCUGAUUAGCUAGUUGGUGAGGUAAAGGCUCACCAAGGCGACGAUCAGUAGCCGGCCUGAGAGGGUGAACGGCCACACUGGAACUGAGACACGGUCCAGACUCCUACGGGAGGCAGCAGUGGGGAAUAUUGCACAAUGGAGGAAACUCUGAUGCCAGCGACGCCGCGUGAGUGAAGAAGGUCUUCGGAUCGUAAAACUCUGUCCUUGGUGAAGAUAAUGACGGUAGCCAAGGAGGAAGCCCCGGCUAACUACGUGCCAGCCGCAGC
RNAcentral lists this ribosomal RNA (481 nucleotides) under uncultured bacterium. RNAcentral's name for it is "bacterial SSU rRNA". It matches the Rfam family "Bacterial small subunit ribosomal RNA", at positions 20 to 518 of the family's 1533-position model. The record is from RNAcentral.